Molecule: long non-coding RNA, 475 nt
Organism: Heterocephalus glaber (naked mole-rat)
Lineage: Eukaryota; Metazoa; Chordata; Mammalia; Rodentia; Bathyergidae
Source: Ensembl
ACUGAAGCCACACACUCUGUGUGCUUCUUCUCGGAGCCAGAGGUCCACACCAAGCCCCAGGAAAAGCUCCUCUCCCUCAUUUCUGCCAGGCCUUCCUCUGACGAGGCUGUGCUCUCCUCUGAUGAGACCUGUGGUCCCAGCCAACACCCUGACAGGAGAGGGACCCUCAGGAAAAGCUCCGCCUCCUCAGUUGUUGCAGGAGGAAUCUUGGAAGAGCUGUCACUGGCUGGCCUGGGACUACGUGGACCUCCCGGCACCAUCACUGUGGCUGAAGAGGACUGGUGGUGGCCGGGGAGUCUGAAUCGAGGGACCAGAGGUGCAGACAGGGUCUCACUAUGUAGCCCAGGCUGGCCUCAAACUCACAGUGAUCCUCCUGCCUCAGCCUCCCAACUGCUGGGAUUACAGCCUUCCAAGGGUUAGGAUCACAGGCGUUCACCUCCCGAGGGCUAAGACCACAGGGGUUCGCCACCACUCC